CCUACGGGAGGCAGCAGUGGGGAAUAUUGCACAAUGGAGGGAACUCUGAUGCAGCGAUGCCGCGUGAGUGAAGAAGUAAUUCGUUAUGUAAAGCUCUAUCAGAAGGGACGAAAGUGAAGGAACCUGAAAAAGACGCUUCGGCUAAAUCAGUGCCAGCAGCCGCGGUAAUACGUAUGGAGCAAGCGUUAUACGGUUUUACUGGUUGUAAAGGGAGAGUAGGUGGCAGAGCAAGUCCGAAGUGAAAACCCAAAGCUCAACUAUGGGAAUGCUUUAGAAACUGCUCAGCUAGAGUGCAGGAGAGGCAAGUGGAAUUCUUAGUGGAGCGGUGAAAUGCGUAGAUAUUAGGAAGAACACCAGUGGCGAAGGCGGCUUGCUGGACUGUAACUGACACUGAGGCUCGAAAGCGUGGGGAGCAAACAGGAUUAGAUACCCGAGUAGUC
Molecule: ribosomal RNA, 440 nt
Filed under: uncultured bacterium
Lineage: Bacteria
Description: partial 16S ribosomal RNA
Rfam family: Bacterial small subunit ribosomal RNA
Source: RNAcentral